UACGUAGGAGACGAGCGUUGUCCGGAAUUACUGGGCGUAAAGGGCGCGUAGGCGGUCGUGACAAGUCACUUGUGAAAUCUCCGGGCUUAACUCGGAACGGUCAAGUGAUACUGUCGGACUAGAGUACAGAAGGGGCAACUGGAAUUCUCGGUGUAGCGGUGAAAUGCGUAGAUAUCGAGAGGAACACCUGCGGCGAAGGCGGGUUGCUGGGCUGAUACUGACGCUGAGGCGCGAAAGCCAGGGGAGCGAACGGG
Molecule: ribosomal RNA, 254 nt
Filed under: uncultured bacterium
Lineage: Bacteria
Description: partial 16S ribosomal RNA
Rfam family: Bacterial small subunit ribosomal RNA
Source: RNAcentral